GACGAACGCUGGCGGCGUGCUUAACACAUGCAAGUCGAACGGAAAGGCCCUGCUUUUGUGGGGUGCUCGAGUGGCGAACGGGUGAGUAACACGUGAGUAACCUGCCCUUGACUUUGGGAUAACUUCAGGAAACUGGGGCUAAUACCGGAUAGGAGCUACUGCUGCAUGGUGGGGGUUGGAAAGUUUCGGCGGUUGGGUAUGGACUCGAGGCUUAUCCGCUUGUUGGGGGGGUAGUGGCUUACAAAGCCUGUGACGGGUAGCCGGCCUGGGAGGGUGGACGGCCACAUUGGGACUGAGAUACGGCCCAGACUGCUACGGGAGGCAGCAGUGGGGAAUAUUGCACAAUGGGCGGAAGCCUGAUGCAGCAACGCCGCGUGCGGGAUGACGGCCUUCGGGUUGUAAACCGCUUUCGCCUGUGACGAAGCGUGAGUGACGGUAAUGGGUAAAGAAGCACCGGCUAACUACGUG
RNAcentral lists this ribosomal RNA (468 nucleotides) under uncultured bacterium. Its description in RNAcentral is "partial 16S ribosomal RNA". It matches the Rfam family "Bacterial small subunit ribosomal RNA", at positions 28 to 507 of the family's 1533-position model. The record is from RNAcentral.